Molecule: long non-coding RNA, 222 nt
Filed under: Lupinus angustifolius (narrow-leaved blue lupine)
Lineage: Eukaryota; Viridiplantae; Streptophyta; Magnoliopsida; Fabales; Fabaceae
Description: long non-coding RNA (LANG_LNC001277)
Source: RNAcentral
AGGAAUUAAUGCAGGGGAUCUAUGUAAAAUAGACAAUGACUGUUCUUGUCAUGUAGGACUUUUUCCAUUAUGUUGUUAUUGUAGAAAAGGUCGUUGUAUUUGUGAUAAGGGUGGUAAGGAAAUCGUGUGAAACUAUUAUUCGUGAUUUUAUGCUAUGUACUAAAAUGUUAUAGCUACCAUGAUAAUGAAAAUAAAUUAAUAUAUUAUCAAUCUAUCAAUACC